GGGUGAGUAACGCGUAUGCAACUUACCUAUCAGAGGGGGAUAGCCCGGCGAAAGUCGGAUUAAUACCCCAUAAAACAGGGGUCCCGCAUGGGAAUAUUUGUUAAAGAUUCAUCGCUGAUAGAUAGGCAUGCGUUCCAUUAGGCAGUUGGCGGGGUAACGGCCCACCAAACCGACGAUGGAUAGGGGUUCUGAGAGGAAGGUCCCCCACAUUGGUACUGAGACACGGACCAAACUCCUACGGGAGGCAGCAGUGAGGAAUAUUGGUCAAUGGCCGAGAGGCUGAACCAGCCAAGUCGCGUGAAGGAAGAAGGAUCUAUGGUUUGUAAACUUCUUUUAUAGGGGAAUAAAGUGGAGGACGUGUCCUUUUUUGUAUGUACCCUAUGAAUAAGCAUCGGCUAACUCCGUGCCAGCAGCCGCGGUAAUACGGAGGAUGCGAGCGUUAUCCGGAUUUAUUGGGUUUAAAGGGUGCGUAGGUGGUGAUUUAAGUCAGCGGUGAAAGUUUGUGGCUCAACCAUAAAAUUGCCGUUGAAACUGGGUUACUUGAGUGUGUUUGAGGUAGGCGGAAUGCGUGGUGUAGCGGUGAAAUGCAUAGAUAUCACGCAGAACUCCGAUUGCGAAGGCAGCUUACUAAACCAUAACUGACACUGAAGCACGAAAGCGUGGGGAUCAAACAGGAUUAGAUACCCUGGUAGUCCACGCAGUAAACGAUGAUUACUAGGAGUUUGCGAUAC
Molecule: ribosomal RNA, 731 nt
Filed under: uncultured bacterium
Lineage: Bacteria
Description: bacterial SSU rRNA
Rfam family: Bacterial small subunit ribosomal RNA
Source: RNAcentral